GCGUCGUUCGCCUAGUUUGGCUUGGCACUUGGCCUCCAACCAAGAAAUGAGAAGGGUUCAAAUCCCUUACGACGCUCCA
Molecule: transfer RNA, 79 nt
Filed under: Betaproteobacteria bacterium
Lineage: Bacteria; Pseudomonadati; Pseudomonadota; Betaproteobacteria
Description: tRNA-Gly
Rfam family: tRNA
About the family: Transfer RNA (tRNA) molecules are approximately 80 nucleotides in length.
Source: RNAcentral